AGAGUUUGAUCAUGGCUCAGGAUGAACGCUAGCGGCAGGCCUAAUACAUGCAAGUCGAACGGUAAAUAUGCAGCAAUGUAUAUGAGAGUGACGUACGGGUGCGUAACACGUAUGCAACCUACCCUUUACAGGCGGAUAGCUCGGGGAAACUCGAAUUAACCCGCCGUAAUAUAAUUGGAUGGCAUCAUUUGAUUAUUAAAUCUACGGAGGUAAAGGAUGGGCAUGCGUCUGAUUAGUUAGUUGGCGGUGUAAUGGACCACCAAGACGAUGAUCAGUAGGGGAACUGAGAGGUUGAUCCCCCACACUGGCACUGAGAUACGGGCCAGACUCCUACGGGAGGCAGCAGUAGGGAAUAUUGGUCAAUGGAUGGAAGUCUGAACCAGCCAUGCCGCGUGCAGGAAGAAGGCCUUCUGGGUUGUAAACUGCUUUUGCAGGGGCUAAAAAGCUCAUGCGUGGGAAAUUGGAAGUACCUGGUGAAUAAGCCACGGCUAACUACGUGCCAGCAGCCGCGGUAAUACGUAGGUGGCAAGCGUUGUCCGGAUUUAUUGGGUUUAAAGGGUGCGUAGGCGGCUUUGUAAGUCAGUGGUGAAAUAUCGCAGCUCAACUGUGAGGGUGCCAUUGAUACUGCAAAGCUUGAGUACAGAUGAGGUAGGCGGAAUUGACGGUGUAGCGGUGAAAUGCUUAGAUAUCGUCAAGAACACCUAUAGCGAAGGCAGCUUACUAGGCUGUAACUGACGCUGAGGCACGAAAGUGUGGGGAUCAAACAGGAUUAGAUACCCUGGUAGUCCACACUGUAAACGUUGAUUACUCGCUGUGUGCGAUAUACAGUACGCGGCCAAGCGAAAGCGAUAAGUAAUCCACCUGGGGAGUACGCCGGCAACGGUGAAACUCAAAGGAAUUGACGGGGGUCCGCACAAGCGGUGGAGCAUGGUGGUUUAAUUCGAUGAUACGCGAGGAA
RNAcentral lists this ribosomal RNA (958 nucleotides) under uncultured bacterium. RNAcentral describes it as "bacterial SSU rRNA". It matches the Rfam family "Bacterial small subunit ribosomal RNA", at positions 8 to 968 of the family's 1533-position model. The record is from RNAcentral.